This 484-nucleotide ribosomal RNA is filed under the name uncultured bacterium. Its description in RNAcentral is "partial 16S ribosomal RNA". It matches the Rfam family "Bacterial small subunit ribosomal RNA", at positions 28 to 507 of the family's 1533-position model. The record is from RNAcentral.
GAUGAACGCUGGCGGCGUGCCUAAUACAUGCAAGUCGAGCGAACGGACGAGAAGCUUGCUUCUCUGAUGUUAGCGGUGGACGGGUGAGUAACACGUGGAUAACCUACCUAUAAGACUGGGAUAACUUCGGGAAACCGGAGCUAAUACCGGAUAAUGCAGCGGCUCGCCAUCGAGACAGUUGUUAAAGCUAUGGCGCCUGAAGAUGAGCCUGCGUCUGAUUAGCUAGUUGGCGGGGUAACGGCCCACCAAGGCAACGAUCAGUAGCUGGUCUGAGAGGAUGAUCAGCCACACUGGAACUGAGACACGGCCCAGACUCCUACGGGAGGCAGCAGUAAGGAAUAUUGCUCAAUGGGAGAAAUCCUGAAGCAGCAACGCCGCGUGAGGGACGAAGGGCUUUUGCUUGUAAACCUCUGUAGGGAGAGAAAAAAAUCCCAAUCUUUGGGACAUGAUGGUAUCUCAAAAGUAAGCCCCGGCUAACUACGUG